RNAcentral lists this long non-coding RNA (7721 nucleotides) under Lupinus angustifolius (narrow-leaved blue lupine). RNAcentral describes it as "long non-coding RNA (LANG_LNC001297)". The record is from RNAcentral. Lineage: Eukaryota; Viridiplantae; Streptophyta; Magnoliopsida; Fabales; Fabaceae.
ACCCAAUAAUUUUUGUAUUCAAAGCUUUUGUAGAUGAUCUUUCCAAUCUUAAAUGAAAUUCAACAUUUCCAUAACACAUACAAAACAAAAAAAGAAAGAAUCAUCAUAAGAAAUAAGAUAUGACAUGAAACCUUCCACUUGAUAUCAUGAUUCACUUCUCAACAUUAUCUUAAAUUUCAAAUCAAAGCAUUUAAGGAGAGGGUAUUAUUAUUAAGCCAACCUCAUAAACUAUAGAAAAAGACAUAGAUAUAACACACCUUCUUCAAUUUGAGAAUGGAACAAAGUGUGGAACAGGUUUACACUUAAGUGGCUUAGCCAAAAACACAGUAACCCUUCCUUCUUCUGACAUAUCAAUCUCAUUAUUCUUUCCAUCAUUCACAACCCAAUCAAAGCAUUGAACCAAACUAGCCAAUGUUGCUUGUAUAACAAGCAAUGCAAGUGAUGCACCAGGACAACUUCUUCUACCACUUCCAAAUGGUAAUAGUUGAUAAUAUUGUCCUCUUACAUCAAUUUUACUCUUACCACUUUCAUCAUUAGCUAAGAACCUUUCAGGGUUAUAUUCUAGGGCAUUGUCCCAAUAGUCUCACUAGUGCAUCUAAGAAGUCCUUGCUUCACAAGAAAACCACUUAUUCUUUUAUUCCAAGCCCUGGGUGCUUGUUUCACCCAUAGAGUGUUUUGUGGAGCUUAUAGACUCUUUGUUCUUGGUCAGAGACCACAAAACCAGGGGGUUGUGUGACAAACACCUCCUUGUCCAAUGAACCAAUGAAGAAGGGUGACUUUACAUCCAUUUGGCAUAUUGUCCAAUUCUUUGAGCUUGCAAUUGUUGUAACAAACCUUACAGUUUUUAUUCUUGUCACUGGUGCAAACACUUCAUCAUAGUCUAAUAUUGGAUUUUGUAGGAACCCCUUUGCAACCAAUCUAGCUUUGUGUUUAACAACUGUACCGUAUGGUUUCAGCUUCACCUUGUAUACCCACUUCACUAAUAUGGCUUUCUUUCAUUGGGUAAAGUUGUGAGUUCCCAUGUAUCAUUUCUCUCAAUUGAUUUGAUUUUCUCAUUCAUUGCUUCAAUCCAACAGGCUUCUUUGAUGGCUUGUUCAUAGGUGAUUGGCUCCAUUUCUGCUAAUAGGGCCAUAUGCACAAAGUCACCUUCAGAUGUUAUUGAUGUGUCAGUGAGGUCAUUGCUUUAAUCUUGUUGGCAUGUUUCUUUGUCUUUGAGGUCUUUCAAUCACAUAUGCAUUUCCUUCACUGACUCUAAAAUUCUAAAGUUUAGGUGACCAAAUCUUCUACCUGCUCAUGGACUCCAAACUUCUAAAGUUUAGGUGACCAAAACUUUGGUGCCAAAUCCAAGUAUCAACAACUAUGGACUCUAGAGAUUUGGUGUCACCAAUAUGUAUGUCAAUCUUAAAAGUCCUAUUGUGUGAGAGUGGGGCUUUUAAGAUCGGAAUCUUUUUCUUGUUGUAUAUUUUCAUCAUUCUGUCUUCUAGCCUCAUGUAAUAGCCCUUUUCUAACAACUGUCCAAGGCUAAUGAGGUUGUUCUUCAUUUUUGGCACAUAUAGCACAUUGGAGAUGUAGGAAACCUUACCAUCUUUUCUUCUUAUCAUGAUUUUGCCAAUUCCUUCUGUAGUGAUAAAACUGUCAUCUGCAAAUUUCACCUUGGUCUUUACUAAGCUAUCUAGAGCCAAGAACCACUCCUUAUGUCUAGUCAUAUGAUUAGAGAAACCAAUGUCCAAAUACCAAUUGUCAGAUGAAGGUUGUUGGUCAUUUUUUGUAAUGACCGUCAAUGCUACAUCUGUGUCACUCAAUUCCAAGUUAGAAAUUUCAUAUGUUUCAAUCCCUUCUGAAUCAGAGAGUUCCUUUUCUGCCAUCAGUAGGACUUCUUCAUUCGAGUCUUAUCCUUGGCUAAUUUGGCUUCUACAGCUUUACUUCUUCUUUGUAAUUUGCAUUCUGAUGCAUAGUGAUCACAAUCUCUACAAUUGAAGCACUGAAGUAUGCUCUUAUCUUUCUUCUUCUUUCCAUGUGUGCUAUUGUUACAGCUGCUACAUCUUUUGAUCUGUUUUUUUCCGAGUCAUUACUUUGGUUUGCUGAGCUGACUUUGUUGGACCUUUUCCAUACAAACUUGUGUUUUCUGUUAUCCUUUGAGGUAAUGUUUCUGGUCAGUGUUUUAAGUUGCGAUUAUAAUCAUGAUUGUGGUCACAUUGUGAUUAUUGCGAUUAUAAUUAUUGUGGUCAUUGUAAUACAAAUUGCGGCCGUUGAAAUGUGAAUUAUUUUGUCAUUAAAAAAAAUAUUUUGGAAAUCAAUAUGGUUACAUGGCGGCCCGAUGCGGUUGCUUGCGACAUGAUAUGACCAACAUAUGGUCCAAUGUGGUUGCAUUGCGGCUUGAUAUGGUCACAUCAUUGUGAUUCGAUGUCAUACUGCAAUUGCAGUGUGAUACAAUUACAACAGUCACCACAACCGUAAUAUUGCAACCGCAUCACGUGAUGUGAUCCGCAAUUUGAAUAAUGAUUCUCGUUGUUUUUAUUGUUAACAAAUUUUCUUGUUUUUUUAUUCUUUUUAUGGCCUAGUUAUUUACUGAUGACCAACAUUGCAUAACUAUCGUUUAUACUGCACCAACAAUUAGACAUAAAUAACUCAUUUGUAUUAGGAUGCAAGCAACUAACUAGAUUGGGUGGAAUCCUAUCCCAAAGAAAAGAAAGUUCCUACUCCAAAUUCCUGAAAAUGACUUCCACAUUUAUUCUACUUUCAUGCUUCAGAAAUCCAUCCAUGGAAAGUGCCUUCUUCUACCCUUUGAUUCCAUUCCUUUCAUUUCGUAACCGCAAAUUCUCAGCCGCGACUAAAAUCAUAGCAUCAAAGUAUUUUUCCCAUUUUGAUUUCUUGUUUUCUUAGGAUUAUAUCAUUUAUCUCAAACUUUAUACCCCUAAAUAUUUAUGGUUGAUUAUAAAAUUAUUAGAUUUUUAGUUAUGUUUCUUUUGUUUUCACCAAUAAUACCUGUUUUGCAUAUAAACUAACAUAAAAUUUAAAAAUAUGAUGUCUUUUUCAUUCUUUAAUUUCUCACAUACCGCUUGGUGCAAUUAGUGUUUUUGCAUUUAAGGGCAUUCUCAACAAUUAUCCCUUACAUAAAUUUGAACUUUUGGUUUACUUGAGAUUUAACAUAGUUUUACAUUAAUAGUACAAUUAGUUUUAUGUAUUAAUAUUCAUUUUUAGGAAAAAAGUAAAUAAAUGAGAAGUGAAUAUAUAAGUUAAUAAGUCCUCUUAUUGACGUCUCAUUUUCUUGUACCCUUUUAUAUUUAAUUCACUAAUAAAAAUCUCAUCAUAUGAAAAACGUACAGAAUAAUAUCCGAACCUACACUGAAAAUGGAUCAAAUAAUGUGACUGAUUGGACUAAUAAAUAUAACAUUGUUUUUUAUAUUUAUAAAGAUGAUACAUUAUUUUAAAAUAAUUUAUAUUUGGAAGUAUGAAGUAUCCUAACAAUAUUGUUUAAGGGAUAAUUAAAAUUAGAAAAUUAAAUCUAUUAUUUAUGGACAUAUAAAAAUAUAAACUUUUAAGAUAAGAUAAGAUUUCUGUUUUCUAUCCCUUAAACAACGUCAUUAGGAAAUUGGUUAACAUUUUCAGUGUAGGUUUAGUGGCUAGGAAUGGACAAAUAUAAUAAGGUAAGAAAGUUUAUAGUAUAUAUAUAACGUAGAUAAUGACAUAAUAUUAUAUAAAUUCUAUCAAAAUGUUAAAUUCUCUGGUUGGAGAGAUGAUUUUAUAUAUAGUUAAUAAUUAUUUAUAAAUAUAAUAUUAUAUAAAAAUACAAAAUUUUAUAUAAUUAGUAAUUAUAUAUAAUCAUAUUAAAAUAAUAUUCUCUAUUUUUUUUAGACCAAAACAAACAAUACAUCAUUGUAGUGUUUCAUUUUUUUAAUUUUAAGUGAAUUGUCUAUCCAUUUCUGGGUUAUUAUAGUUUAACUGGAUUUAAUAUAAUGGACCGAAAUUUUCUGAGUUUAAAGUGGUUCAAACUAUAACUGUUUUCAAUUCCGGUUACUGAAAUUAUCCGUUCUCUUUCUAACAACAUUACCUAGUAUAUUACAUUUAUUAUUUUAAUUUAGCAUCUAAAAUAAUUUUGUGUAAUCCACAUUUUGAUGCAUUUUUUCUUCCUCUGAAUCUGCAUAAACCGCAAUUCUUCACUUAAAAGCUAAAUAAAUUUUCCUAAAUAUUAUGAUACAAUGUCCAAACAAAUUAAACAUAUCCAUUAUCAUGUGACAUAGCUAAUUUUGUGUUUUGUCCUUUGAGAAACUCGUUGAGACCCAAGUAAGUGAUAAUGUGGGAAUCGUGAAUACAUAUGAACAAUCACUAACUGGUUUACAUAUCUUGUAUAUAGCGUGAAUCUAAAGCAAUACCACGUGUUUUUGUUUGUUUUGUUAUGAGUUAUGACCCUAUGUUCUAUAUAUACUAAUGACAUGAAGAAUCUUAUGUAAUAAUAACAUAUACAAAACAAACACAACCUUAUAAGGAUUGUUUUUUGUGUUAAGGUGAAAUAUAAACAUGUCAGAAACUGGAGGUGGUGCAAGCCAGGAAGAGAAAAAGCCUGUUGAUCAAGGAGGACACAUAAAUCUCAAAGUCAAGGGCCAGGUUUAAUUCUCUUCUCACUUUAAACUAUACAUAUUUUUUUUAUUAGUAUACUUCGGCGCAAAAGUAAGGUUGCUUGAGAUCGCGGGUACAAAUCUUCUCUAUUAAACUAUACAUAUUUCUUUGAUCAGUGUAAUUUGACGUAACAGUAAAGUUGUUGCUUAGUAACCAUACUGUCAUGGGUACAAAUCUUCUUCGUUAAACUAUACAUAUUUCUUUGAUUAGUGUAGUUUGGAGUAUUGCUUGGUAACAAUGACGUCAUAGUUAAACUACACAUAUUUCUUUGAUUAGUGUAGCUUGGCACAAGAGUAUGUUUGUUGCUUAGUAACCAUGAUGUCACGGGUAUAAAUCUUCUCAAUUAAACUAUACAUCUUUGAUUAGUAUAGUUUGACGUAACGGUAAGGUUGUUGCUUAGUAAUAAUGACGUCACAGACUCACAGGUACAAAUCUCGGAAACAGUAUAUUUGCUUGUAGAGGUAAGAUUGCGUACAUCUACCCUCCUCAGACCACACUAAGUAGGAGCCUCGUGCAUCAGGCCGGCCUUUUUAGUACUUUACUGUUCAAUUUUCUUUUUGUCAAUGAGAUGCUUUAUCUUUUGCCAUGAAGAACCUUUGGAUUAAUGUGCAGUGUGAAUUUCUUGGUAUAUGAGUUCAAAUGCUUUUUUGUAAUCUAAAUGUUUGAAGUGAAACUGAGAUCUUGUAACAAAAUAUCUAUAUAUGAAAAUCUAUAUAGUAAAUUUAAUUGAUAUGCACAAUAUUAUGCUAUAACUAACUUACUCUGCCUUUGGUUCUGUUCCAUGUUUCUGGCAUAUUGAAAAACUAGCACAUCUUUUUAGCAUGAACUCCUUAUAAAAUUUCUUAACCUGAUUCCACAUGGCUUUAUUAUAUUGUAGGAUGGAAAUGAGAUUUUCUUCAGGAUAAAAAGAAGUACUCAGCUCAGGAAACUCAUGAAUGCUUACUGCGAUCGCCAAUCUGUCGAUUUUAACUCGAUCGCUUUCUUGUUUGAUGGAAGGAGACUCCGGGCUGAGCAGACCCCUGAUGAGGUAAAUUAUGUUUCUCUUAAAAACAUAAUUUACAAUAGAACAUUACGUCGUCGUUCAAUUCGGUAUUAAGGCUUGGUUGAACACAACAUUAAUUCAAUUGCCACAUUAUUUUUUCAGUACUUAAUGUAUAGUUUGGUGGAAUUUCUCACCAUUUUUUAUAGAUAAAACUCUUAAACCAAAGUUUUAAAAAUGACCUUUAGAUAUAACGAUAUCUCAUUUUUACUCGUAAAUACAAAUACAAAAUACUAACUUGUUUCUCCAGUAUUACAGAUGAUUCUUUUCAUUUUUUUUCUCGAUUAUCCAGUUGUACAUCUUUCACUUGUUCGGAUUUGCAUCUUAAUUGUUGUGUAUGUUGAUUCUAAGAAUUUGCAAUUUUUUGCAGCUAGAGAUGGAGGAUGGUGAUGAGAUUGAUGCAAUGCUGCACCAAACUGGAGGUGGAAACCAUUUUCUUUAGAUAUAAUAUUGAUUUUUAUCAAAAUGCUUGAAAAAGCUAAUGAUGAAUGAUCUAUACAUGUUCUUGUUUUAUGUUUUUAUUUUUCUGCCAUAUAAAAUUGUGGUAUGGGAUUGAGUUUCAUGUUUAUGUAAUCUUUGUUGCUUUUAAGGUACUUUUGUUGUGUUGGAAAGUUACAAUAUAUAAUGUUUUUGGUAUUCACUCUAGCUUGAUGAAUGUGUUGGAUGUCUGAAAUUAAGAUGAAAAAUGUUACACCAUGUUUUUGGGCAGUACUUGAAGGUAAACCCACCCUACCCAUGUUUAGAAGGGAUAAAGCAUGAUAUUUCAUACUAAUCUUAUAAAUGAAUCGGCUUAUGUAUGUCGUAACUUAGAUGGUUAUUGUGUGAGCAUGACCCGAAUUUUCAAUAUUAAUUAUCAAUUAUCAAAUUUAUAAUACAUUCACUUCUAACAUAUGAAAGCCAGUAUUGGAGUCUCCGAUACUCAAAUAUGAUGAAGCAGAGUAAUUUUGUAAUUUUUAAAUCUAAUUUUUUCAAAAAAUGAUUUAAAAUAGAAUCAUUCAUGAUUUGUUUAUGUUACAUGUUACCAUUUCCAUCCAAUAUUGUAUCCUGUAGAAUAAGGAUGAACUUAAUUUUUGAAAUUGAACAUCAAACUUUAAACUAAAAAAUUUCAAUAUAAUAAUCUCAGUUUUUGAAAUGAUAGUAAUGGCCAUAACAAUGACAAUAGAAGUUGUUGGGCUUCAAAAUAUUAAUGGCUUUAGAACUGUGAUUAUUUAAAUAAAAAAAUCAACCUGUUCAAUAAGUAUUUUGAAUUAAAUAAUAUGCCUAAGCCAUAAACUGAUAAAAGUAGACAUCAUUCAAACCGAAUAUAAAUAUAAAUGGAUUGAUCUGAUUUGAGUCCAGGACCACACAAAUUAAUAUACCAAUAUAUGUCCUUGGUCGUUACACAAAUUAAUAUAAGAAUAUAUGUCCUUCGUUGUUUACUAAUUUCCAUACUUAUUUAUUAGUUGCAAGAUUUUUGUGGGUUAAUUUCAUAUCUGAAAAAUUGAAAAACUCAAAAUAAUUCUAAAAAUAUUAAGUGUUGGUCAAAUUAAUUAUUUUUAAUAUUUUUUAUGACUUUCGAUGAAGACUAUUUUAACUCACAUUUAUGAUUUUUUAGUAUUAAUUUAGAUUUUUUAUUUUUCAUGGAUGAAAUUAGUGCAUAUGAAAAAUUAUAAGGAAUCAAAAUAGAUAUUCACCCAAUAAUUUUUGUAUUCAAAGCUUUUGUAGAUGAUCUUUCCAAUCUUAAAUGAAAUUCAACAUUUCCAUAACACAUACAAAACAAAAAAAGAAAGAAUCAUCAUAAGAAAUAAGAUAUGACAUGAAACCUUCCACUUGAUAUCAUGAUUCACUUCUCAACAUUAUCUUAAAUUUCAAAUCAAAGCAUUUAAGGAGAGGGUAUUAUUAUUAAGCCAACCUCAUAAACUAUAGAAAAAGACAUAGAUAUAACACACCUUCUUCAAUUUGAGAAUGGAACAAAGUGUGGAACAGGUUUACACUUAAGUGGCUUAGCCAAAAACACAGUAACCCUUCCUUCUUCUGACAUAUCAAUCUCAUUAUUCUUUCCAUCAUUCACAACCCAAUCAAAGCA